Molecule: ribosomal RNA, 473 nt
Filed under: uncultured bacterium
Lineage: Bacteria
Description: bacterial SSU rRNA
Rfam family: Bacterial small subunit ribosomal RNA
Source: RNAcentral
GACGAACGCUGGCGGCGUGCUUAACACAUGCAAGUCGAACGGAGAAUUUAUUUCGGUAAAUUCUUAGUGGCGAACGGGUGAGUAACGCGUGGGCAACCUACCCCAAAGUCCGGGAUAACAGUGGGAAACCGCUGCUAAUACCGGAUGGCUUUACCUGAGGGCAUCCUUGGGUAAAGAAAGGUUACGCUUUGGGAUGGGCCCGCGUCCCAUUAGCUAGUUGGUGAGGUAACGGCUCACCAAGGCGACGAUGGGCAGCCGGCCUGAGAGGGUGAACGGCCACACUGGGACUGAGACACGGCCCAGACUCCUACGGGAGGCAGCAGUAGGGAAUUUUGCGCAAUGGACGAAAGUCUGACGCAGCAACGCCGCGUGAAGGAUGACGGCCCUCGGGUUGUAAACUUCUGUUGGAUGGGAAAAAAGCCUCGUAAGGGGAAUUGAUGGUACCAUUCGAGUAAGCACCGGCUAACUACGUG